CGGCGUAACACGUGAGCAACCUUCCGAAAUAUGGGGGAUAGCCGGCCUAACGGCCGAGUAAUACCGCAUACGCUCUCGAUGAGGCAUUUCAUUGAGAGGAAACCUCCGGGGUAUUUCGAGGGGCUCGCGGCCUAUCAGCUAGUUGGCGAGGUAACGGCUCACCAAGGCAACGACGGGUAGCUGGUCUGAGAGGAUGGCCAGCCACAUUGGGACUGAGAUACGGCCCAG
RNAcentral lists this ribosomal RNA (228 nucleotides) under uncultured bacterium. Its description in RNAcentral is "partial 16S ribosomal RNA". It matches the Rfam family "Bacterial small subunit ribosomal RNA", at positions 106 to 334 of the family's 1533-position model. The record is from RNAcentral.